This is a non-coding RNA of Podarcis lilfordi (Lilford's wall lizard), 77 nucleotides long. NCBI's taxonomy places the organism in Eukaryota, Metazoa, Chordata, Lepidosauria, Squamata, Lacertidae. The record is from the annotation of a GenBank genome assembly.
UUCUGCAUAGCUCAGUUGGGAGAGCAGGAGACUCUUAAUCUCAGGGUCAUGGGUUUGAGCCCCACAUAGAGUGGAAG